This 502-nucleotide unclassified non-coding RNA is filed under the name uncultured Archaeospora. RNAcentral describes it as "SSU rRNA". It matches the Rfam family "Eukaryotic small subunit ribosomal RNA", at positions 591 to 1092 of the family's 1831-position model. Lineage: Eukaryota; Fungi; Glomeromycota; Glomeromycetes; Archaeosporales; Archaeosporaceae. The record is from RNAcentral.
CCAAUAGCGUAUAUUAAAGUUGUUGCAGUUAAAAAGCUCGUAGUUGAAUUUUGGAUUCUUCCAAUUGGUCCAUCUUUUAGAUGAGUACUGGUUGUGUGGGGUCUAUCCGCCUGGUGAUACGUAAUGUCCUUUAUUGGAUGUUGCGGGUAGUCAGGACCUUUACCUUGAAAAAAUUAGAGUGUUUAAAGCAGGCUUAUGCCGGAAUACAUUAGCAUGGAAUAAUAGAAUAGGACGAAGUUGUUUUAUUUUGUUGGUUUCUAGGACAACCGUAAUGAUUAAUAGGGAUAGUUGGGGGCAUUAGUAUUCAAUUGUCAGAGGUGAAAUUCUUGGAUUUAUUGAAGACUAACUACUGCGAAAGCAUUUGCCAAGGAUGUUUUCAUUAAUCAAGAACGAAAGUUAGGGGAUCGAAGACGAUCAGAUACCGUCGUAGUCUUAACCAUAAACUAUGCCGACUAGGAAUCAGACGAUGUUAAUUUUUUAAUGACUCGUUUGGCACCUUACG